RNAcentral lists this ribosomal RNA (497 nucleotides) under uncultured bacterium. RNAcentral describes it as "partial 16S ribosomal RNA". It matches the Rfam family "Bacterial small subunit ribosomal RNA", at positions 28 to 507 of the family's 1533-position model. The record is from RNAcentral.
GAUGAACGCUGGCGGCGUGCCUAAUACAUGCAAGUCGAGCGAACAGACGAGGAGCUUGCUCCUCUGACGUUAGCGGCGGACGGGUGAGUAACACGUGGAUAACCUACCUAUAAGACUGGGAUAACUUCGGGAAACCGGAGAUAAUACCGGAUAAUAUAUUGAACCGCAUGGUUCAAUAGUGAAAGACGGUUUUGCUGUCACUUAUAGAUGGAUCCGCGCCGCAUUAGCUAGUUGGUAAGGUAACGGCUUACCAAGGCAACGAUGCGUAGCCGACCUGAGAGGGUGAUCAGCCACACUGGAACUGAGACACGGUCCAGACUCCUACGGGAGGCAGCAGUAGGGAAUCUUCCGCAAUGGGCGCAAGCCUGACGGAGCAACGCCGCGUGAGUGAUGAAGGUCUUCGGAUCGUAAAGCUCUGUUAUUAGGGAAGAACAAAUGUGUAAGAAACUAUGCCCGUCUUGACGGUACCUAAUCAGAAAGCCACGGCUAACUUCGUG